GCUGGGCUGCGCUGGCACCUAGCUGGUCCCGGCCACCGGAGAAAGCGGCAGCGAGUUGGUGCCGUCGCCUGAGAGGACCCCGGCAGCCGUCGGGAGUCCCUGUACAGGACAGUGUUGUCUCCAGACCCAAGGAUAGGGUCUGCAGCACCAGCAGUUCGCACAUGGAUUUUCUACAGUUCUUCUUGCUGUGACCUUCUGGGCCACCAGGGAAACACAAUGGGGUCCUGCCAGCCUUGCGCGAUGAAUUGUCACUUGCCAGGACUCUCUCCAGGCUUCCUGAGACAUUGAGUUGCUGGUUGAGAUCCUGACUGCUUCUGAUUCCUCACUGUGCUGCUGGCAGGGUGGGAUUGAUGUCCAGUUUAGGACACUGGGCAGAGCCAAGCCCAUCACCAUCCUCUGUACCCUUGGCAGACUGGGGGACCAAGCUGGAUCCCUCUUUCUAAAGGGGCUCCACGUGAGCAAGGGCUGUCCAUAUUCAUUCUGGUGGGAAGAGCCACCUCCUUCACCCUUUCCACCUGGGAACCGUGUCACUGCUGGGGAUGGCACCACAUGGACGCAGAGCAAGAGCCAGCAGCCUGGCAGCAAGGCACUAGCUGAGCCUGAGCACCAUCACGGGGCAUAGAGCUACCUGGGGGGUGCCAGCAUCCCCACCACAGACACACUCCAGGGAUGUAGGUGCUGGGCGCAGGAGGAGUUCUGGCAGCAAUGGGCCGGCUGGAUGACCAUGCCAAGAGGAGGAUCGUGGAGCUGCGCAGGGCUGGGCUGAGCUUCCGCAAGAUCAAGAAGGUGCUGGAGCUGGAUGACAUCCGGGUGACGCCACAGGCCGUGUACCUCUUUCUCAAGAGGAAGAGUGUGGAACCAGGGUCAGCAGCAGCUGGCUGGGAUGGGGACCAGCCCUGGCCCCCACAGCAGGGGCAUGAGGCUGAGCCCCCCAGGCUGCUGGGCACCCGGCACCCUGCACUGCCCACUGGGGAUCCUAUGGGCAGCCGGGCACCCUGCUGUGCUGGCAGCCAGGACACCAAGGAAGGCAUCCAGAUUGUCAGUGUGGCCUCACUCUGCAAGGACACUGGGCAUCUUGGGGACACUUUGGCUAUGGAGCUGGCCCCUGCGAAUGGUGAUGAUAGCUCCACAGGCACAGCCCUGGCUUCAGGGACUGCUCUGGGGGGUCUUGCCCCCCUGCCCCAGCCACUGUCCAGCCAAGCGCAGCUGGUAACACCCUCGACCCAGAACUCAGCCCUGAUGGUGAAAAAGAAGACAGUGAACAGGGCUAUCCUCCUGCAGAAAAAGGUCAAAGAUGUCAGUACUCAGACUGCCUUGCCAAACUCUGUGGGUCCAGGAAAUCACAGCCUUGCUUGGGGUGGACCAGUGCCCCCCACUGCUCCCAGCUGCCCUGCCAUUGCUGAGAAGCUGGAUGCUGUACAGAUGGAGGUGCAGAAGCUGAGCCAGGCCCUGCAUGCAGUGCUGGAGCGGCAGUGCUGCCUGGAACGCCAGCAGGAGCACCAGCAGCGGCUGCAGCAGGAGGUGCUGAUGACACUGCAGCAGCUCAGCUCCACCAUGAGCCACGGCGCUGUGCCAGCCACCCAGCCCUGCGGCCCCUUCAGCAGCAUGGCUGAGCCCUCACCCACGAUGGCAAACUUCAGCCAGUUCAAGAUGGAGCUGAUAUGAGCUCCCGCAAGGCCUGUGUGUGCCAGCAGUGCUGUGCUAAGGAAGCCGGGAGGAAGAACCAUCUCUCAGAGGCUGCUCAAGGAUUACAUGCAGCAGCCAGCAGAUAAGGUCCCUGGUACCUCAUGUUCCCAGACCUGCUGACUGGAAGGCGCUGCCUGGCACAAGAGGCUGGACAGUGGAAGGCUGAGGCUUUGCUCCUCCUGUGCUGCUGAUCCUGGCUGGCACUGAAGCUGGCUGGGACCCAUGGACCUCAGCAGAAGGCAGUUGCCUGUAAGGAGAAGAUGAAGCUAAUGUGGACCCAGCAGGGAGGUGGGACUCCAAGGAUACAGGAGGCUUCCUUCUCGUGAGGAUCAAUGCCAUGAUGAUCAAUCUUGCCCUCGCCUCCAAAGAACCUUGUUCAGUAAAAAUCUGUCUACACCACGGUUCGGAACCAGUGUGUGAUCAGUAUCCACAUAUUCCCUACCCCUCACCUGGCCUGUGAGCAGGCUGGAUCUGUCUGGGUCACUAUCACCAUGCACAGAACUGCACAGGGUGCAGAAACUCAUGAGGUGAGACCAGCACUCCACACACGAUGUUGUUGGAGCUUGGUAUCAGGUGCUGCACCAUUAGGAAUAGAUCAGACUUGUAGGAAACAAUCUUUACUGAGGAGAUUCCAUCCUCCUCACCCCACAGACCCAGCAGAUCUGGAGUCUGGUACUGGUGCUGCCCACUGUCUUGGCAAGAUAUGGGCAGGACCAGGACCAUACCAGUAAGAGUUGUACCUUGGCAGGAGCUGAUUAACUGGGUGUUCAGCUCUCUAACUAAUUUCCCUGGGCAGGAUACCCUCUGUUGUGAUCCCAGUAGCAAGGGCUCUCUCUAGAGCAGAGCUGCUCUAGCAGAGCAGACCAAAAGGGCACAGGGGAGGCUGGAGUCCAGAAGGACCAGAGACUGGCCUUGUCUAUCAGGAGGAAAGGUCUGAUGGCAGUGGCCUUGGCUCAGCACCCAGUAGUGAAUCCUGAGAGGAGGCAGAGUAUGUGUUCUUCCUCUGCAUCAGCCAAGCAGGCUUUUGUCUGCACGGGCACCACGCUUGGCACAACCUGUGCCUUUGAGAAUUUCCCAGCCUUUUUCUCAGGUCUCUUUGAGUCCAAGGUCAAAAUUAAGAAAAGUAAUAACCAAUUGAAGUGUUUGUACACAGACACACAUAUAGAGAUGUACACGUAUGCACAGAUGUAGAUGCAUGGGGCAGGUCUGUGCAGCAGCCCCAGUGUUUGAGGGAGCAGGACACCCACUCUGCUCCCCCAAGACACAUUGCUGGCUCCAGGGCUGUGCCCAAGAGAACUAGAAAUCUGCUGCCAUCUGCCUGCAGUCAUUCAUUUCGAUGUUGGUGUAAUUUUGGGGACAUCUGAAAAGCAACAGAUGAAGAAAAACACAUUAUCAGUUGCUCUGCUCUUUUGCACAAGGCAGCUAAUCUGCACCUCAGGUUUGAAAAGAAGAGGCUGGAGGACCAGCACUCAGCAGUCACAGUUUCCUAAUGUCUGUUAAAGUUUCAGAGAAAAACAGGAGCAGAACAGCUGCUAUUCCCUGGCACAUGUACAUAAAACCAUGCUGGUUUCUGAAAGAGCUUCCCUAAAUCUGACUUGGGCUAUUUCUUAAAUUAUUUAAAAAAAAUAAAUGUAUCUACCAAUAUAUAUACUGGGUUUUCUAUUCCCCAAAUGUAUUCUAAGAACUUUCCUCAUUUCUAACUCUUGCACAUCAGCCCUUUAUCCAGUGCUAAAAAAAACCCAGCAAAACUUAAUAAAAAUAAAUCACCUGGGCUUGUUAAAUAACCAUCCACUGUAACAUUUAUUUCAGACAGAUGUACAGCCUGAGUGUUCAGCUGCUGUUUGCCUCCUGACCACAUUAGGGAACACCAAGUUAUUAUUUAAUGUGGUGUCAUGUUAUAAUGUGGAAGGUGUUUCCCACCCAGGUAAUCCUAAGGUGUUUGUCAAUUCCAUCCUGCUCCAAGGAAGAGCUCUUCCCUGUGGCCACAGCAUCAUCUGUUGUGUGCCACAUGCCUUCAGCUUUCUACUCUCCCACC
This is a long non-coding RNA of Taeniopygia guttata (zebra finch), 3721 nucleotides long. The record is from Ensembl. Lineage: Eukaryota; Metazoa; Chordata; Aves; Passeriformes; Estrildidae.